RNAcentral lists this ribosomal RNA (487 nucleotides) under uncultured bacterium. Its description in RNAcentral is "bacterial SSU rRNA". It matches the Rfam family "Bacterial small subunit ribosomal RNA", at positions 501 to 987 of the family's 1533-position model. The record is from RNAcentral.
CUACGUGCCAGCAGCCGCGGUAAUACGUAGGGUGCGAGCGUUAAUCGGAAUUACUGGGCGUAAAGCGAGCGCAGACGGUUACUUAAGCAGGAUGUGAAAUCCCCGGGCUCAACCUGGGAACUGCGUUCUGAACUGGGUGACUAGAGUGUGUCAGAGGGAGGUAGAAUUCCACGUGUAGCAGUGAAAUGCGUAGAGAUGUGGAGGAAUACCGAUGGCGAAGGCAGCCUCCUGGGAUAACACUGACGUUCAUGCUCGAAAGCGUGGGUAGCAAACAGGAUUAGAUACCCUGGUAGUCCACGCCCUAAACGAUGUCAAUUAGCUGUUGGGCARCUUGAUUGCUUAGUAGCGUAGCUAACGCGUGAAAUUGACCGCCUGGGGAGUACGGUCGCAAGAUUAAAACUCAAAGGAAUUGACGGGGACCCGCACAAGCGGUGGAUGAUGUGGAUUAAUUCGAUGCAACGCGAAGAACCUUACCUGGUCUUGACAU